RNAcentral lists this long non-coding RNA (606 nucleotides) under Numida meleagris (helmeted guineafowl). RNAcentral's name for it is "lncRNA (ENSNMEG00000015326.1)". The record is from RNAcentral. Lineage: Eukaryota; Metazoa; Chordata; Aves; Galliformes; Numididae.
CUCACAACCAGAGACCAGCCUGUGUUGCCAGUCCUGCUGGUGACUCUUGAGUCUCAAAGACCUCUUGUGGGAUCAUGAGACACCAAGAACUUGCAAGCAGCAUGCAAGACACUAAGAUGCUAAUGGGGAUCUCCAAGGAGUAUUUCGUGCUUGGUGGAGUGAUCAGUGCUUCCUUGUUCAGAAUCAAGGAGGAUUAUACCCCCUCUCUCUCAGUGAACACAUUUUGCAACAAGAACUUGACCACCCAGGACCCUCUGGAACACUGCUGCCUCACGCUAGUUCAAGACACUUCUUUACUGAGCAAACAUCGUUGUGCCAUUAAAGGUCAAAAAAUUCUUGAUCUCCUGUACAUAGUUGCCUAUUGUACAUACUAGUACUUACGCUCUACUUUUAUACAGAUGAAUUUUGGUGGUGUGAAAUAGAUAAACAGUCCCCAUGAUGAUAACAUCUUAAAGAGCAGAGUCUUUCUCCUGCUUACAAAGAGCAGCAUCUUUUCUUCUGAAUGCAGGCAUUACUCUGUACCUGGGAGCACAAUGUGGUGUGGGCUUUGUCUCCAAAGCCUGAACAUUCAGGAUGCUGCUGCUUGGGAAGCCACUACUGGAGAAC